GAUGAACGCUGGCGGCGUGCCUAAUACAUGCAAGUCGAGCGAACGGACGAGAAGCUUGCUUCUCUGAUGUUAGCGGCGGACGGGUGAGUAACACGUGGAUAACCUACCUAUAAGACUGGGAUAACUUCGGGAAACCGGAGCUAAUACCGGAUAAUAUUUUGAACCGCAUGGUUCAAAAGUGAAAGACGGUCUUGCUGUCACUUAUAGAUGGAUCCGCGCUGCAUUAGCUAGUUGGUAAGGUAACGGCUUACCAAGGCAACGAUGCAUAGCCGACCUGAGAGGGUGAUCGGCCACACUGGAACUGAGACACGGUCCAGACUCCUACUGGAUGCAGCAGAAUGGAAUCUUGCGCAAUGGGCGAAAGCCUGACGGAGCAACGCCGCGUGAGUGAUGAAGGCACUCGGAGCGUAAAACUCUGUUAUUAGGGAAGAACAUAUGUGUAAGUAACUGUGCACAUCUUGACGGUACCUAAUCAGAAAGCCACGGCUAACUACGUG
Molecule: ribosomal RNA, 497 nt
Filed under: uncultured bacterium
Lineage: Bacteria
Description: partial 16S ribosomal RNA
Rfam family: Bacterial small subunit ribosomal RNA
Source: RNAcentral